UAUUCCCCACUGCUGCCUCCCGUAGGAGUCUGGGCCGUGUCUCAGUCCCAAUGUGGCCGUUCAACCUCUCAGUCCGGCUACUGAUCGUCGACUUGGUGAGCCGUUACCUCACCAACUAUCUAAUCAGACGCGAGCCCAUCUCUGAGUGAUAAAUCUUUGAUAACAAAGUCAUGCGGCUUCGUUAUGUUAUGAGGUAUUACCAUCCGUUUCCAGAAGCUAUCCCUCUCUCAGAGGCAGGUUGCUCACGUGUUACUCACCCGUCCGCCACUAAGAAUUCUCAGUAAACCAAAAAUUCUCCGUUCGACUUGCAUGUGUUAAGCGUGCCGCCAGCGUUCAUCCUGAGCCAA
This 347-nucleotide ribosomal RNA is filed under the name uncultured rumen bacterium. RNAcentral describes it as "partial 16S ribosomal RNA". The record is from RNAcentral.